Molecule: transfer RNA, 72 nt
Filed under: Bos taurus (domestic cattle)
Lineage: Eukaryota; Metazoa; Chordata; Mammalia; Artiodactyla; Bovidae
Also listed under: 2 other names
Rfam family: tRNA
About the family: Transfer RNA (tRNA) molecules are approximately 80 nucleotides in length. Their secondary structure includes four short double-helical elements and three loops (D, anti-codon, and T loops). Further hydrogen bonds mediate the characteristic L-shaped molecular structure. tRNAs have two regions of fundamental functional importance: the anti-codon, which is responsible for specific mRNA codon recognition, and the 3' end, to which the tRNAs corresponding amino acid is attached (by aminoacyl-tRNA synthetases). tRNAs cope with the degeneracy of the genetic code in two manners: having more than one tRNA (with a specific anti-codon) for a particular amino acid; and 'wobble' base-pairing, i.e. permitting non-standard base-pairing at the 3rd anti-codon position.
Source: Rfam by way of RNAcentral
UCCCUGGUGGCUCAGACGGUAAAGCAUCUGCCUGCAACGUGGGAGACCCGGGUUCGAUUCCUGGGUCGGGAA